AUUGAACGCUGGCGGCAGGCUUAACACAUGCAAGUCGAGCGGAGUGAUGGUGCUUGCACUAUCACUUAGCGGCGGACGGGUGAGUAAUGCUUAGGAAUCUGCCUAUUAGUGGGGGACAACAUCUCGAAAGGGAUGCUAAUACCGCAUACGUCCUACGGGAGAAAGCAGGGGAUCACUUGUGACCUUGCGCUAAUAGAUGAGCCUAAGUCGGAUUAGCUAGUUGGUGGGGUAAAGGCCUACCAAGGCGACGAUCUGUAGCGGGUCUGAGAGGAUGAGCCGCCACACUGGGACUGAGACACGGCCCAGACUCCUAAGGGAGGCAGCAGUGGGGAAUAUUGGACAAUGGGGGGAACCCUGAUCCAGCCAUGCCGCGUGUGUGAAGAAGGCCUUAUGGUUGUAAAGCACUUUAAGCGAGGAGGAGGCUCUUUUGGUUAAUACCCAAGAUGAGUGGACGUUACUCGCAGAAUAAGCACCGGCUAACUCUGUGCCAGCCGCCGCGGUAA
This 503-nucleotide ribosomal RNA is filed under the name uncultured bacterium. RNAcentral describes it as "partial 16S ribosomal RNA". It matches the Rfam family "Bacterial small subunit ribosomal RNA", at positions 30 to 523 of the family's 1533-position model. The record is from RNAcentral.